AACUCUGCAAAUUGAUACCGUAACUUCGGAAGAAGGUAUGCCUUUUUUGGUCACUGGACUUGCUCCAGGAAGCUGAAGAAGGCCGCAGGUAAUCGGGGGCUGCGACUGUUUACCAAAAACACAGGACUCUGCGAACACGUAAGUGGAUGUAUAGGGUCUGACGCCUGCCCGGUGCUGGAAGGUUAAUUGAUGGGGCCAGCCGCAAGGCGAAGCUCUUGAUCGAAGCCCCAGUAAACGGCGGCCGUAACAAUAACGGUCCUAAGGUAGCGAAAUUCCUUGUCGGGUAAGUUCCGACCUGCACGAAUGGCGUAACGCUGGCCCCACUGUCUCGACCAGAGACUCAGUGAAGUUGAAAUCGCUGUGAAGAUGCGGCGUAGCUGCGGAAAGACGGAAAGACCCCGUGAACCUUUACUACAGCUUUACACUGAACUUUGAAUUUAUUUGUGUAGGAUAGGUGGGAGCCUUUGAAGCAGGGGCGCUAGCUCUUGUGGAGGCAACCUUGAAAUACCACCCUGAUAACUUCGGAGUUCUAACCUAGAUCCGUAAUCCGGAUUGGGAACACUGUAUGGUGGGUAGUUUGACUGGGGCGGUCUCCUCCCAAAGAGUAACGGAGGAGUGCAAAGGUACCCUCAGCGCGGUCGGUCAUCGCGCUUUUGAGUGCAAUGGCAUAAGGGUGCUUGACUGCGAGACGUACAUGUCGAGCAGGAACGAAAGUUGGUCAUAGUGAUCCGGUGGUUCUGUAUGGAAGGGCCAUCGCUCAACGGAUAAAAGGUACUCCGGGGAUAACAGGCUUAUUCCUCCCAAGAGUCCACAUCGACGGAGGAGUUUGGCACCUCGAUGUCGGCUCAUCACAUCCUGGGGCUGUAGCAGGUCCCAAGGGUUCGGCUGUUCGCCGAUUAAAGUGGUACGCGAGCUGGGUUCAAAACGUCGUGAGACAGUUUGGUCCCUAUCUUCCGUAGCCGUUGGAGAUUUGAGGGUGAGUUGCUCCUAGUACGAGAGGACCGGAGUGAAUGUAUCUCUGGUGUUCCGGUUGUCACGCCAGUGGCACUGCCGGGUAGCUAUAUACAGACGGGAUAACCGCUGAAAGCAUCUAAGCGGGAAGCCCCCCCCAAGACGAGAUCUCCCUGAGGACUUGAUCCUCCUAAAGGGCCCAAGAAGACUACUUGGUUGAUAGGCUGGGUGUGUACGCGUAGCAAUACGCUUAGCUAACCAGUACUAAUUGCCCGUGAGGCUUGAUCAG
Molecule: ribosomal RNA, 1240 nt
Filed under: metagenome
Description: bacterial LSU rRNA
Rfam family: Bacterial large subunit ribosomal RNA
Source: RNAcentral